GCUGGAGCUGGGGUGGAACCCCAGGUCAUGCCGGGAAUUCCAGCCAGGACAGCAGCUGACUGCAUUUCCUCUGUGUCAUAGUCAGCACCAGCUGCCCUGCAAAAUACCACCGACAGACACCUAUUUUCUGAGAGUUCAGAGGCUGGAAUGCUGGGAUCGGGGUGCCAGCCUGUGGGGUCCUGGUGAAGACCCUCUUUCUGGUUUGUAGCUGUGUUCUCACAUGGCACUGAGACAGAGCAAGCCCUCUGGCAUCUCUUCUUACAGGACCCUGAUCUUGUUAGGAAGGCUCCACCCUCAUGGCCCUAACUAACCCUAAUCACCUUUCCCCCCGAGACAAAAAUAUAGAUAUCGGAGGUUAGGGCUUCAAAUCUGAAUUUGAGGGGGACACGAGUAUUCAGUCUGUAGCACAGUGCCAUUGAAGCUGGGAGUUCUCCCAACCAGGUUCCUACUGACCUGUUUUCAGAACCCUUGGUGGCUCUGCCCCUGCAUCCUGGCUGCUGCCCCUGGUCACUCACCCUUCAGCUGGUUGCUCGGAGGAGCUGUUGCAGGAUGGGGGGAUUCUAGCAGCUUCCACCCUCGGCCUCAGCCUGGACCUCCUUCACGACAGAGUCUCCAGGGCCUAAGCAGAUGUCUGGUCACCACAACGGAAACUGAGAAGGAUUGCAGUUAGGAGCCACAGUGACCUGUGGUCUCUAGUCCGGAUGGCCCUGUGGGGAGCACUCGAGGAAGAAGAGGCUGACCGGCCCAAAGAGAUUUGCAGUUGAUGAUGUGCUGGCCAACUAAGUCCCAACACCCACGAAACUAUAAAAUGCAAAAGCACAAAGGCUUGGGGAAGAUGGCAAGUUAUAACAGAAUAAAGAAAGAUAUCAGGAGGAACAACUCCAGUUCCAGGAUCUUUUUCCAGAUAUUAGCUGGCAGUUCACCCCUCCUUCCACCUGUAGUACCAGCCAUUCAUGCCACUAUCCUGCCAACAGACUAUAGACACAAACUCAGCACCCAGGAAAUGAUGUUCUCUUCUGGGAGAUUCUGUGGACAGAAUCCAGAGAAGCUACGAAGUCUG
Bos indicus x Bos taurus (hybrid cattle) is the source of this 1060-nucleotide long non-coding RNA. The record is from Ensembl. NCBI's taxonomy places the organism in Eukaryota, Metazoa, Chordata, Mammalia, Artiodactyla, Bovidae.